GUGAACGAGAAUUUUCAGUUGAUUUCUUCGGAAUGAAACGGAAAAAGGAAAGUAGCGAACGGGUGAGUAACACGUGAGAAACCUGCCUUUCACAAAGGGAUAGCCUCGGGAAACCGGGAUUAAUACCUUAUGAUACAUUAAUAUCGCAUGAUGUAAAUGUUAAAGAAUUUCGGUGAAGGAUGGUCUCGCGUCUGAUUAGCUAGUUGGUAAGGUAGUGGCUUACCAAGGCAACGAUCAGUAGCCGGAUUGAGAGGUUGAACGGCCACACUGGAACUGAGACACGGUCCAGACUCCUACGGGAGGCAGCAGUGGGGAAUUUUGCACAAUGGGGGAAACCCUGAUGCAGCGACGCCGCGUGAACGAUGAAGGUCUUCGGAUUGUAAAGUUCUGUCCUUAGCGAAGAUAAUGACAGUAGCUAAGAAGCAAGCCCUGGCUAAAUACGUGCCAGCAGCCGCGGUAAUACGUAUGGGGCAAGCGUUGUCCGGAAUUAUUGGGCGUAAAGGGUAUGUAGGCGGUUAAUUAAGUCUGAAUUUAAAGGCUGUGGCUCAACCACAGGUUCGGUUUGAGAAACUGGUUAACUUGAGUACCAUGAGGGGAAAGUUGGAAUGUCCAUGUGUAGCGGGUGAUAUGCGGUAGAGUAUAUGGAGGAACACCAGUGGCAGAUAGGCUGACUUUCUAGAAUGCUGAACUGGACCGGAUGGAGAUACGAGAGGCGAUGGUGUAGCAAACAGGUAUUAGUAUACCCGUGGGUAGUCCAGCGCUAGUCCCCCAUGAGUGCU
This 779-nucleotide ribosomal RNA is filed under the name uncultured Clostridia bacterium. RNAcentral's name for it is "bacterial SSU rRNA". It matches the Rfam family "Bacterial small subunit ribosomal RNA", at positions 55 to 817 of the family's 1533-position model. The record is from RNAcentral. Lineage: Bacteria; Bacillati; Bacillota; Clostridia.